Molecule: microRNA precursor, 91 nt
Filed under: Chlorocebus sabaeus (green monkey)
Lineage: Eukaryota; Metazoa; Chordata; Mammalia; Primates; Cercopithecidae
Description: miRNA (ENSCSAG00000025814.1)
Source: RNAcentral
CGCCCACCUCGGCCUCCCAAAGUGCUGGGAUUACAGGCAUGAGCCACUGCCCGGCCUGUCCUUGCCCUAUUUAAGGCAAGCUCUUUCACUU